This 317-nucleotide ribosomal RNA is filed under the name Klebsiella pneumoniae. RNAcentral's name for it is "bacterial SSU rRNA". It matches the Rfam family "Bacterial small subunit ribosomal RNA", at positions 480 to 796 of the family's 1533-position model. The record is from RNAcentral. Lineage: Bacteria; Pseudomonadati; Pseudomonadota; Gammaproteobacteria; Enterobacterales; Enterobacteriaceae.
GUAAGAAUAAGGAUCGGCUAACUCCGUGCCAGCAGCCGCGGUAAUACGGAGGAUCCAAGCGUUAUCCGGAAUCAUUGGGUUUAAAGGGUCCGUAGGCGGUUUAAUAAGUCAGUGGUGAAAGCCCAUCGCUCAACGGUGGAACGGCCAUUGAUACUGUCUGACUUGAAUUAUUAGGAAGUAACUAGAAUAUGUAGUGUAGCGGUGAAAUGCUUAGAGAUUACAUGGAAUACCAAUUGCGAAGGCAGGUUACUACUAAUGGAUUGACGCUGAUGGACGAAAGCGUGGGUAGCGAACAGGAUUAGAUACCCCAGUAGUCC